RNAcentral lists this ribosomal RNA (492 nucleotides) under uncultured bacterium. RNAcentral's name for it is "partial 16S ribosomal RNA". It matches the Rfam family "Bacterial small subunit ribosomal RNA", at positions 29 to 507 of the family's 1533-position model. The record is from RNAcentral.
AGUGAACGCUGGCGGUAGGCCUAACACAUGCAAGUCGAACGGCAGCACAGUAAGAGCUUGCUCUUACGGGUUGCGAGUGGCGGACGUGUGAGGAAUACAUCGGACUCUACUUUUUCGUGGGGGAUAACGUAGGGAAACUUACGCUAAUACCGCAUACGACCUACGGUUGAAAGCAGUGGAUCUUCGGACCUUGCGCGAUUGAAUGAGCCGAUGUCGGAUUAGCUAGUUGGCGGGGUAAAGGCCCACCAAGGCGACGAUCCGUAGCUGGUCUGAGAGGAUGAUCGGCGACACUGGAACUGAGACACGGACCAGACUCCUACGGGAGGCAGCAGUGGGGAAUGUUGGACAAUGGGCGCAAGCAUGAUCCAGCCAUACCGCGUGGGUGAAGAAGGCCUUCGGGUUGUAAAGCCCUUUUGUGGGGAAAGAAAAGCAGCAGGUUAAUACCCCGCUGUUCUGACGGUACCCAAAGAAUAAGCACCGGCUAACUUCGUG